UUUGAGGCAGACGUGAGGGCCUGGUGGU
This 28-nucleotide non-coding RNA is filed under the name Rattus norvegicus (Norway rat). Lineage: Eukaryota; Metazoa; Chordata; Mammalia; Rodentia; Muridae. The record is from RNAcentral.